RNAcentral lists this non-coding RNA (23 nucleotides) under Arabidopsis thaliana (thale cress). Lineage: Eukaryota; Viridiplantae; Streptophyta; Magnoliopsida; Brassicales; Brassicaceae. The record is from RNAcentral.
AACCCUAAGAACAACCACAACCA